UACAGAGGUGGCAAGCGUUGUUCGGAAUUACUGGGCGUAAAGGGCGCGUAGGCGGUUCGUUAAGUCCUGUGUGAAAUCCCCCGGCUCAACUGGGGAACUGCACAGGAAACUGCCGUACUCGAGGAAGGCAGAGGUACGCGGAACUUAGGGUGGAGCGGUGAAAUGCGUUGAUAUCCUAAGGAACACCGGUGGCGAAAGCGGCGUACUGGGUCUUAUCUGACGCUGAGGCACGAAAGCUAGGGUAGCGAACGGG
RNAcentral lists this ribosomal RNA (253 nucleotides) under uncultured bacterium. Its description in RNAcentral is "partial 16S ribosomal RNA". It matches the Rfam family "Bacterial small subunit ribosomal RNA", at positions 524 to 776 of the family's 1533-position model. The record is from RNAcentral.